UUCAAAAAGAUGAGAGCAAGUCAAACCAUGUUGCAUACAACAAGUAGAAAGGGUUUUGCUCGCUUAGAAGCUGAAAUGCGUGCUGAAAGUGAAGAUCCUGAUUCGAUAACAAGAGAUGAUGUUUAUAUUCGAGGACAUACGUGAAAAAAUGGUGAACCUAUUAAUGAAUCAGUUGGGGAAACAUUG
This is a long non-coding RNA of Olea europaea var. sylvestris, 186 nucleotides long. RefSeq lists it as uncharacterized. NCBI's taxonomy places the organism in Eukaryota, Viridiplantae, Streptophyta, Magnoliopsida, Lamiales, Oleaceae. The transcript is spliced from 2 exons. The record is from RefSeq and is a predicted model, not a curated record.